GUGUUUACUUUGGCAGCACAUAUACUAAAAUUGGAAUGAUACAGAGAAGAUUAGCAUGGCCCCUAUGCAAGGAUGACAUGCAGAUUUGUGAAACGUUUCACAUUUAA
Molecule: small nuclear RNA, 107 nt
Filed under: Propithecus coquereli (Coquerel's sifaka)
Lineage: Eukaryota; Metazoa; Chordata; Mammalia; Primates; Indriidae
Source: RNAcentral